UGAAACAAUCUAGAGUUUCAUUUUACAUAAAAGCAGGAGCAAAUAUUUGCACUAUUACAAAUUCAGUCCGACAUGAUUAUGAAGGCGAAGAUAAUGUAUUGUGUGCUCUGCUGUACAACAAAGAUAUGUGCAUUGUAUGUCCGUCGUUAUCUAUCAUUUUGAGUGACCAAAAACAAGCCAUCAUGGAACUUUACAAACGGAUAGCUAUCUUCGCGAUAAUAUGUACAGGAGUUUGUUUGGCUGUUGAUCCAGAUUGGUCAUGUGACUUUGAAGAGGACAAAUGUGGAAUCAUUGGGGGAAAAGGGGACUGGACAAUCGACAGAGGGGCUCUAAGGGCAGAUGUGUCUCCAAGCAGGUCAGGUGACAAGUUCACAUUUCCAUCCCGCACAAAUUCACAUCACCGCGAGGAUUUUUAUCUUUUGGAUACUUCCUUGAGGGUACUGAUUCAUCCAUGUCGGUCAAGGUCUGCAGGGAAGCAAGGGGAGCUGCAUUUACAGUUGUUGGUAUGGGACGUGCGAUGCUAGAUAUUGAAGUCGUUCCUUACUCAUGUGCAAGCAAAAUGGAUGUUGAGAUAACUUUCAUUGCCAUAAGGGGUCGUGUAGCUCCUCAGUUCAGUGUAGGCUACAUUCAAAUAUGUGAAACAACAUAUAUAUAUCCGCUUGUAACAAAACAGCCAUCAACUGAAUCAUUCACUUCGACCACUUUAACCACUUCCUUAGAAGUUUCAUCUGUAACACAACCAUCAACUGAAUCAACUAGCACUAACUUCCAGUCCAAAUCACACUCACCUA
Long non-coding RNA from Strongylocentrotus purpuratus (purple sea urchin), 791 nucleotides. RefSeq lists it as uncharacterized. The transcript is spliced from 6 exons. NCBI's taxonomy places the organism in Eukaryota, Metazoa, Echinodermata, Echinoidea, Camarodonta, Strongylocentrotidae. The record is from RefSeq and is a predicted model, not a curated record.